GACGAACCGUGCGAACGUUGUUCGGAAUCACUGGGCUUAAAGGGUCCGUAGGCGGCCAGAAAAGUCGGAUGUGAAAUCCCUCGGCUCAACCGAGGAAUUGCGUCCGAUACUGCCUGGCUCGAGGGAGGUAGAGGCGCGUGGAACUUCGGGUGGAGCGGUGAAAUGCGUUGAGAUCCGAAGGAACUCCGGUGGCGAAGGCGACGCGCUGGGCCUUUCCUGACGCUGAGGGACGAAAGCUAGGGGAGCGAACGGGAUUAGAUACCCGGGUAGU
This 271-nucleotide ribosomal RNA is filed under the name uncultured bacterium. Its description in RNAcentral is "partial 16S ribosomal RNA". It matches the Rfam family "Bacterial small subunit ribosomal RNA", at positions 524 to 794 of the family's 1533-position model. The record is from RNAcentral.